CCUACGGGAGGCAGCAGUAAGGAAUAUUGGUCAAUGGACGAAAGUCUGAACCAGCCAUGCCGCGUGAAGGAUUAAGGCCCUCUGGGUUGUAAACUUCUUUUAUCUGGGACGAAAAAAGGGUAUUCUUACUCACUUGACGGUACCAGAGGAAUAAGCACCGGCUAACUCCGUGCCAGCAGCCGCGGUAAUACGGAGGGUGCAAGCGUUAUCCGGAUUUACUGGGUUUAAAGGGUGCGUAGGUGGGCUUGUAAGUCAGUGGUGAAAUCUCCGGGCUUAACCCGGAAACUGCCAUUGAUACUAUAGGUCUUGAAUUAUCUGGAGGUAAGCGGAAUAUGUCAUGUAGCGGUGAAAUGCUUAGAUAUGACAUAGAACACCAAUUGCGAAGGCAGCUUACUACGGAUAUAUUGACACUGAGGCACGAAAGCGUGGGGAUCAAACAGGAUUAGAUACCCUGGUAGUCCACGCCCUAAACGAUGGAUACUCGACAUCAGCGAUACACUGUUGGUGUCUGAGNGAGANAUAUAUCCACCNGAGUAGANCGCAGAUAGUAACGUAAAGUAAGUAGAGCGUGAGACGNGCGACGACGACGACGAGGGAGGAGG
Molecule: ribosomal RNA, 602 nt
Filed under: uncultured bacterium
Lineage: Bacteria
Description: bacterial SSU rRNA
Rfam family: Bacterial small subunit ribosomal RNA (bases 1-530)
Source: RNAcentral